UGAUGACUCAGCUACACCUCUUCCAGAAACACCUGUGUUCCUUGAAGUUCUCCCAUUCGACUACUUGUCCAGCUUUACCAUGCUUAGUUUAUCAGUGAGAGCUGCGGGGGCAGUGCCUGCAGGUGGAGGCAGCAUGUGGAGCUAGCAGCUGAGAGGGAGGGACAUGUCGCCACUUCCAGGGGCUUCCUAAGGAUUCAAGGAAUGAAGGCAAUGAAUGGGACUUGCAAGUGAAGAAACUGGAUCAAAAUGUGUUUAAAAACAUUG
This is a long non-coding RNA of Malaclemys terrapin pileata, 264 nucleotides long. RefSeq lists it as uncharacterized. The record is from RefSeq and is a predicted model, not a curated record. Lineage: Eukaryota; Metazoa; Chordata; Testudines; Emydidae. The transcript is spliced from 3 exons.